CCUACGGGAGGCAGCAGUGAGGAAUAUUGGUCAAUGGCCGGAAGGCUGAACCAGCCAUGCCGCGUGAAGGGCAGGGACCUAUGGGCGUUAAACUUCUUUUGUGCGGGAGCAAUAAUGGUCACGUGUGGCCAGACGAGAGUACCGUACGAAUAAGCAUCGGCUAACUCCGUGACAGCAGCCGCGGUAAUACGGGGGAGGCAAGCGUUAUCCGGAAUUAAUGGGUGUAAAGGGUGCGUAGGCUGUGAGGUAAGUCAGCGGGGAAAUGCCCCCGCUCAACGGGGUGAAGUGCCAUUGAUACUGCCUUGCUGGAGUGCGGAUGCCGUGGGAGGAAUGUGUGGUGUAGCGGUGAAAUGCAUAGAUAUCACCCAGAACACCGAUUGCGAAGGCAUCUCACGAAUCCGCGAUUGACGCUGAUGCACGAAAGCGUGGGUAUCAAACAGGAUUAGAUACCCUUGUAGUC
RNAcentral lists this ribosomal RNA (460 nucleotides) under uncultured bacterium. RNAcentral's name for it is "partial 16S ribosomal RNA". It matches the Rfam family "Bacterial small subunit ribosomal RNA", at positions 338 to 795 of the family's 1533-position model. The record is from RNAcentral.